GACCAUAGUUCAGUGACAGUGCAUCUGCUUUGCAUGCAGAAGGUCCCAGGUUCAAUCCCUGGCAUCUACA
This 70-nucleotide transfer RNA is filed under the name Podarcis lilfordi (Lilford's wall lizard). RNAcentral describes it as "tRNA.Ala". The stretch from base 6 to 62 matches the Rfam family "tRNA", at positions 8 to 63 of the family's 71-position model. From Rfam's summary of the family: Transfer RNA (tRNA) molecules are approximately 80 nucleotides in length. Their secondary structure includes four short double-helical elements and three loops (D, anti-codon, and T loops). The record is from RNAcentral. Lineage: Eukaryota; Metazoa; Chordata; Lepidosauria; Squamata; Lacertidae.